Molecule: non-coding RNA, 69 nt
Organism: Podarcis lilfordi (Lilford's wall lizard)
Lineage: Eukaryota; Metazoa; Chordata; Lepidosauria; Squamata; Lacertidae
Source: the annotation of a GenBank genome assembly
GUAUAGCUCAGUUGGUACAAUAUGAGACUCUUAAUCUCAGAGUCAUGGGUUCUAACCCCAUGUUGGGCA